Molecule: ribosomal RNA, 497 nt
Filed under: uncultured bacterium
Lineage: Bacteria
Description: partial 16S ribosomal RNA
Rfam family: Bacterial small subunit ribosomal RNA
Source: RNAcentral
GAUGAACGCUGGCGGCGUGCCUAAUACAUGCAAGUCGAGCGAACAGACGAGGAGCUUGCUCCUCUGACGUUAGCGGCGGACGGUUGAGUAACACGUUGAUAACCUACCUAUAAGACUGGGAUAACUUCGGGAAACCGGAGCUAAUACCGGAUAAUAUAUUGAACCGCAUGGUUCAAUAGUGAAAGACGGUUUUGCUGUCACUUAUAGAUGGAUCCGCGCCGCAUUAGCUAGUUGGUAAGGUAACGGCUUACCAAGGCGAAGAUGCGUAGCCGACCUGAGAGGGUGAUCGGCCACACUGGAACUGAGACAAGGUCCAGACUACUACGGGAGGCAGCAGUAGGGAAUCUUCCGAAAUGGGCGAAAGCCUGACGGAGCAACGCCGCGUGAGUGAUGAAGGUCUUCGGAUCGUAAAACUCUGUUAUUAGGGAAGAACAAAUGUGUAAGUAACUAUGCACGUCUUGACGGUACCUAAUCAGAAAGCCACGGCUAACUACGUG